UAAGCACAAAAGGAAUUUUAGUCUUUAG
RNAcentral lists this non-coding RNA (28 nucleotides) under Mus musculus (house mouse). Lineage: Eukaryota; Metazoa; Chordata; Mammalia; Rodentia; Muridae. The record is from RNAcentral.